RNAcentral lists this transfer RNA (44 nucleotides) under Microtus obscurus (Altai voie). RNAcentral's name for it is "partial tRNA-Glu". The record is from RNAcentral. Lineage: Eukaryota; Metazoa; Chordata; Mammalia; Rodentia; Cricetidae.
GUUUCUAUAGUUGAAUAACAACGAUGAUUUUUCAUGUCAUUGGU